AAAACAAUUAGCUGUUAUCCCCUAAGUAACUUGAUUUAUUAAUCUAUAUUUAGGAUCAAGUUAAUUUUUUAAAUUAAUAUUUUAACUUUUAAAUUAAUGAAGUUAAAAAAUUCAUUAACCGCCCCAGUUAAAUUUUCUUCAUCCUAUAUAGGAUGAAGAAAAUAAAGUUUUAAGGGGUCUUCUCGUCCUGCUAAAAAUUUCUUCUUUUUCAAAGAAAAAUUAAUUUCAAUUUCACAAAUUGAGACAAUAUUAAGUUCAUUAACCCUAUCAUUCCAUUUUACAAUUAAUAAACUAAUUAUUAUGUACCUUUGCAA
RNAcentral lists this ribosomal RNA (314 nucleotides) under Facetotecta sp. RNAcentral describes it as "partial large subunit ribosomal RNA". Lineage: Eukaryota; Metazoa; Arthropoda; Thecostraca. The record is from RNAcentral.